Molecule: ribosomal RNA, 588 nt
Filed under: Mortierella sp. UFMGCB 3717
Lineage: Eukaryota; Fungi; Mortierellomycota; Mortierellomycetes; Mortierellales; Mortierellaceae
Description: eukaryotic LSU rRNA
Rfam family: 5.8S ribosomal RNA (bases 183-336)
Source: RNAcentral
GCGGAAGGAUCAUUCAUAAUCCAGUGUUUUUAUGCCACUUUAAAUCCAUAUCCACCUUGUGUGCAAUGUCAUCUCACUGGGGUUACGUUUGUAAAAUUUCGUGAUCCGUUUGGGAUUUAUAUCUACUCAGAACUUUAGUCAUUUUGUCUGAAACAUAUUAUGAAUAACUUAAUUCAAAAUACAACUUUCAACAACGGAUCUCUUGGCUCUCGCAUCGAUGAAGAACGCAGCGAAAUGCGAUACGUAAUGUGAAUUGCAGAAUUCAGUGAAUCAUCGAAUCUUUGAACGCAUAUUGCGCUCUCUGGUAUUCCGGAGAGCAUGCUUGUUUGAGUAUCAGUAAACACCUCAACUCCCUUUCUUCUUGAAAUGGAGCUGGACUUGAGUGAUCCCAACGCUUUAUUCAUAAAGUGGCGGGUUACUUGAAAUGCAGGUGCAGCUGGACUUUUCUCUGAGCUAUAAGCAUAUCUAUUUAGUCUGCCUCAAAAACAGAUUAUUACCUUUGCUGCAGCUAACAUAAAGGAGAUUAGUUCUUGUGCUGACUGAUGCAGGAUUCACAAAGACCGCUUCGGCUGUCUUUGUUAACUCGAU